CACGCUGUAAACGAUGAGAACUAAGUAUUGCCGUGAGGCAGUGCUGAAGCUAACGCAUUAAGUUCUCCGCCUGGGGAGUACGGUCGCAAGACUGAAACUUAAAGGAAUUGACGGGGCCCC
Molecule: ribosomal RNA, 120 nt
Filed under: uncultured bacterium
Lineage: Bacteria
Description: partial 16S ribosomal RNA
Rfam family: Bacterial small subunit ribosomal RNA
Source: RNAcentral